Molecule: long non-coding RNA, 931 nt
Organism: Octopus bimaculoides (California two-spot octopus)
Lineage: Eukaryota; Metazoa; Mollusca; Cephalopoda; Octopoda; Octopodidae
Source: RefSeq, a predicted model, not a curated record
ACGGGGUUCUGAGUUUUCAACUCAGACAACUUGCUAAAAUCUUUUCCUUCUUAGAAAUCCUCCCCCUCUUUCCUCUUUAACCACGAACUUGUUGAAGACGCACCAAGCAGUUAAUUCCAUCUCUUAAUCAAGGGGAACUGAAAAGGCUAUAGGCACUGCACUACCUUCUCAAAUUAAACAAUAACAAUAAUAAUUGCUUCCCCAAUCAUCAUCUCUACCUGCUGAUUAUUUAGUGUAUCAUGUUUACCGGAGGAGAAAUGAUAAGCAGAUUAUCUUUUAUUUCAUAUUUCUACGAAGUUUAUUCAGCUGUCAGAGGUUAUCAGUACGUGUAAAACAACUUCUUAAAAAGAUUGUUUACGAUACGAUAGAAAUCAUAUUUCUGCUUUAUUACUUUCAGCGUGUCACUUUACCUAUCUUCCAACAUCCCCAGCCUCAACAGCUUCACCACUUCACCACGUAAUCAUAAUUCCAGAGACGAGCGUUCGAAUCCUCAGCGACGCCACCACUGGCCGCGAAAAACAACACGAGCAUCGCUAACAACGCAUGCGCAGACAGAAUAACGGUUUAACUGGAACUGGAUUCUUGCGAGUUUGGAAUAAGAGCUGAGGUUAGAGUUCAUCAGCGGUAGUGAUAGGAAGAGGAGGUGAAGAGAGGAAGGAAGAGGAAGAAGUAGAAAGACGUGAAUCUAAAGCAAGCAGUCAAGUACUAAAGUGAUUCUCUCAUCGUAUUGAGUUAUAAAUUUUUCUUCGACAGCUUAAUGAAAUUCUGGAUUCUGUACACUGUAUAAGAAAACAACAAAUGAAGUGCUGAAACAUUGCAGGUUACAUAAUCCAAUAUUGUAUGAAAUAACUUGACUGCCCCAGAUAACAUUGAGGAAUUACCAGCACCAUUGUAAGAAAAUCACGACCUGAUUGCAGAUAGCCACAAAGUG